UGAAUAUGUAAUUAUGUUCUGAGAGAAAAAUCCAUGACACACAUUGUUACAGUCUCUAAAAAUUCCACCAUAAGCAGCCUUAGGAUUUCUAACCAUAAGAAGGAAUAUUACAACCUUUUUCCUUUAACUUCUCAUCAAUGGAGACCCUAUCUUGCUUAAUUCUCCAAGCUAUCACUGAUUUGGAGGGAGGAAUGUUUGUGGACCAUACAUAUUUGGGCUAAUGGAGCUUCUGAUCAAUAUGUGCCUUGAACAUAUGCUUCUUUGAA
This 266-nucleotide long non-coding RNA is filed under the name Medicago truncatula (barrel medic). RNAcentral's name for it is "long non-coding RNA (MTRU_LNC000853)". The record is from RNAcentral. Lineage: Eukaryota; Viridiplantae; Streptophyta; Magnoliopsida; Fabales; Fabaceae.